This 497-nucleotide ribosomal RNA is filed under the name uncultured bacterium. RNAcentral's name for it is "partial 16S ribosomal RNA". It matches the Rfam family "Bacterial small subunit ribosomal RNA", at positions 28 to 507 of the family's 1533-position model. The record is from RNAcentral.
GAUGAACGCUGGCGGCGUGCCUAAUACAUGCAAGUCGAGCGAACAGAUAAGGAGCUUGCUCUUUUGACGUUAGCGGCGGACGGGUGAGUAACACGUGGAUAACCUACCUAUAUGACUGGAAUAACUACGGGAAACCGGGGAUAAUGCCGGAUAAUAUUUAGAACCGCAUGGUUCUAAAGUGAAAGAUGGCUUUGCUGUCUCUUAUAGAUGGACCCGCGCCGUAUUAGCUAGUUGGUAAGGUAACGGCUUACCAAGGCAACGAUGCGUAGCCGACCUGAGAGGGUGAUCGGCCACACUGGAACUGAGACACGGUCCAGACUCCUACGGGAGGCAGCAGUAGGGAAUCUUCCGCAAUGGGCGAAAGCCUGACGGAGCAACGCCGCGUGAGUGAUGAAGGUCUUCGGAUCGUAAAACUCUGUUAUUAGGGAAGAACAAAUGUGUAAGUAACUGUGCACGUCUUGACGGUACCUAAUCAGAAAGCCACGGCUAACUACGUG